RNAcentral lists this long non-coding RNA (2492 nucleotides) under Homo sapiens (human). Its description in RNAcentral is "HSALNT0133679". The record is from RNAcentral. Lineage: Eukaryota; Metazoa; Chordata; Mammalia; Primates; Hominidae.
UUUGCUCAGUGCGUUUUAAACACACACAUAAUUACAACAAUCCAAGUCUUCAGGAAAAUAAAAUGAGGUUAAAGGGUCACAUUCCAAAGCAGUGAUUUAUUAUUUGUAGUGAUGCCUUAAAGGUUUUAUUUUUUCCUAUUUGAUAUCACUCUCUCCCAAACCCCAGGAUCUGAGGGCAAAAACAAGCCUCUAUUUAAAAAAGACAAGAUGAAGAAAAAAAUUCAUACUGAGGAGAAAGGUUCAUCUGUCAAUGUGAACAAGGAGUUUACAUCACUAGCAUUCUACUGGUUUUCUUGGGGAAAGAAGUCUCUGCAGAAAAGCCCACAAUCCACAUCCCACUCGGAGCAAAGGCCCUUCUCACCCGAAGAGCCCUAGUGAUUCAUGUCAUCGCCAUCUGUCCCACCGGACACCCCUGAAAACUCACUUCUGGCUAGCAAAACAAGGCACCACUUCUUUUGAGAUAUUUUGACUAUGAAAUGUUUCCGUGGGACAGCUCUAAAAAAUCUGCAUUUAUUCCACAAUCACACAACAAUAAAAUGAGGACCUGACCUUCUAGGUAUGAAGGUACCACAGCACAAUCAUCAACACUGCUACCAAAUCUCAUCUGCUAAUAUGUAAAAUGUCUCCUUCUCCAGCUGACAAGCGAUAUUCUACCACAAGCCCCACUAUUGUGAACCACGAUAAUAUAAAAUGAAAUUAGGAAAAAGAUAAGAUGACCGGGACGAAGUACCUUGCCUACACACGCCCCCUCCCUAUCACCACCAUCUUCUGCCCUUGACUCUUCAACCAACGAAGGAGAGAAAAGAAAGAAGAGAAUGAAACGUGCAAUGCAGACUAUAGCAUCACGGACAGCAGCGUUGGUUACAACAUCUUAUUAGGGUCCUUUAAAAAUACAGAAAGAGAACAAAUGAAGGAGAACCUAGAACCACCACUUACUGCUUUUUCUUAUGACUUUUGGCUCAAUGUAUGUUUUACACAAAAAGAAAUGCUACAAGGAUUUGGUACCAGGUAAACAAUAUAUAAAUUGUUAGGGAAAAAAGGAAAAUCUCUUUUUUUAAAAAAUGAGAGGUUCUACUUUUUAGGGUCAUAAUUGUAUAAGUUCAAUGUUUCUAGCAUAUCUUUCUAGAAGAAAGACUAGAACAGCCACAGGUGAAAAAGGAAACUGAUAAAUGGAGGGGGUAAUAUAGUAGAUCCUGUGACGACAUCCUUUAUCCUGCACUAAAACUGCAAUGCUGCAGAAUGCCAUCCCCCUCUUGAAAUCCUGACUCUUUGAGAAUAGCAAAUGGUGGUAUUACUCAUGCAUGACCUUUGCCAAAAAGUGGCUGGCAGAUGGGUUUGCCCAGCAAAGUGGAGAUGUGAUGAGAUUAUUCUGAGUCCCUAUGCAAGUAGCCCAGUUGAGCCUGGACAAGAAUUUCACUGGAUCAGAGGCUUUUUACUUUCACAGAACGUAGACAAAUGUGCCAUGUCACAAUGGCUUCCACUCACGUCCUGGUUUAUCAUCAUUCCUCCCUCCACUCCUCAACAGAAACCAAAAAAAAGGCAAUUAUCUUUCUUCCAGCUACAGAUGUUAAUCCUCAACUAACAUCCCAUACCGGCAGUGUCUGCAAUGUAGUAGAAAGGCUUUGAAGCCUGCAAAUCAUUUAGGACCAAAAGGAGGAAAUCCAAGUCCAAUUAUGGGAAAAUGAAAAAAAGAAAAAGAGCAGAAAAGCCCUUCAAAUCAGACCACACAGAAGGCCAAAACCACAGAUGAAAGGAACUGAGAAGCUAUGGGUUUUUUUUGCUGCCUUUUAAAUACAGACCCCUAGGCAAAGGCAGCACUUAUUUAACAUAUCCACAGGUAUUAAAGUCUAUAACAUAUAAGGUGCUAGAAAAAUAAUUUCAGUGAUUGUUACUUAUGGGUCUAGAUAAUUCUUAAUAUUGACAAACAUUGGUAUCCAUGUAAAAGACAAAAGUAGAAAAUAUCACUAAACUUGGAGGUAGAAACCAGACUUGAAUUCUGCCUCUAUGUAUAGCCUUUGGAAAAUUACUUUUUGUUUCAAAGCCCAAGUUUCUUCAUCUAUAAAAAUAUGGAUUAAAAAUACCUUCAUUCAAAGAGUUGUACUAUAACUUUUCAAUGAAAUUCAUGUAUAUGUCUGAAAAACAGUAUCUAAUAAAUAUAAACUGUGUAUGAUUCUGAUCUUUAAUACAGAUUAAGACUCCCAAGUAAAAGUCCUUUUUCUUUUUUUAAAUCAUGGAAAAGACACAAAUUUUGUUGUCACAAGAUGAUGGUUCAAUGGUUCUAGGUCAGAUUUUGUUCCUCCUGGCAAGAUGAUCUUGGGUAAGUCUUUUCUCUUUCCAAGUCCUAGGUUCUCCAUUUCAUUUAUUUGCUUGUAAACCUGAAUUCAUUUGGAGGCACUAACAGUAAACACGGCAAAUAAAGUCCCCGCCCUUAUGGAACUUAGCAAGUCAUGAGGAGACCUAAAAGCAAUGAAUGUACAGUGUUGGCUACUGUU